This 474-nucleotide ribosomal RNA is filed under the name uncultured organism. Its description in RNAcentral is "partial 16S ribosomal RNA". It matches the Rfam family "Bacterial small subunit ribosomal RNA", at positions 333 to 798 of the family's 1533-position model. The record is from RNAcentral.
ACACUCCUGCGGGAGGCAGCAGUGGGGAAUUUUGGACAAUGGGCGAAAGCCUGAUCCAGCAAUGCCGCGUGAGUGAAGAAGGCCUUCGGGUUGUAAAGCUCUUUUGUCAGGGAAGAAACGGUGAAAGCUAAUAUCUUUUGCUAAUGACGGUACCUGAAGAAUAAGCACCGGCUAACUACGUGCCAGCAGCCGCGGUAAUACGUAGGGUGCAAGCGUUAAUCGGAAUUACUGGGCGUAAAGCGUGCGCAGGCGGUUUUGUAAGUCUGAUGUGAAAUCCCCGGGCUCAACCUGGGAAUUGCAUUGGAGACUGCAAGGCUAGAAUCUGGCAGAGGGGGGUAGAAUUCCACGUGUAGCAGUGAAAUGCGUAGAUAUGUGGAGGAACACCGAUGGCGUAGGCAGCCCCCUGGGUCAAGAUUGACGCUCAUGCACGAAAGCGUGGGGAGCAAACAGGAUUAGAAACCCCGGUAGUCCCAU